Molecule: ribosomal RNA, 253 nt
Filed under: uncultured bacterium
Lineage: Bacteria
Description: partial 16S ribosomal RNA
Rfam family: Bacterial small subunit ribosomal RNA
Source: RNAcentral
UACAGAGGUGGCAAGCGUUGCUCGGUAUCACUGGGCUUAAAGGGCGCGUAGGCGGUGCGGUGCGGUUUCGGUGAAAUCCCUCGGCCCAACCGAGGAACAGCCGGGGCUACGGCCGCGCUAGACGGCAUCAGGGGACAGUGGAACUCCCGGUGGAGCGGUGAAAUGCGUAGAUAUCGGGAGGAACGCCGGUGGCGAAAGCGACUGUCUGGGGUGCCUGUGACGCUGAGGCGCGAAAGCCAGGGGAUCAAACGGG